Tachysurus fulvidraco (yellow catfish) is the source of this 3344-nucleotide long non-coding RNA. RefSeq lists it as uncharacterized. The transcript has 2 exons. The record is from RefSeq and is a predicted model, not a curated record. Lineage: Eukaryota; Metazoa; Chordata; Actinopteri; Siluriformes; Bagridae.
UUCGUUAAUUAGACGAUAAAAUGGUCCGGAAAUACAACGGUCCGGAAAACGUAAAAAAAUUGGCUGUGAAAUGAUCAUUAGCUCGUCCUACAUAUCCGUAAAAGGAAGUCACGUUGGUAAACAAAAUGCCGUGCGUCCCGGCUACGUCAUCACGCUGGCCAAGUUCAGCCGGUUCAAGACGCAGGGAUCAACCAGGAUAGAGGUGCAAACGUGCCAUCUAUCGGAGCCACCGUGACCAUGGCCAAGAAGAAUGAACUCAGUCAUGAUCUUCGUACGCGUGUUGUCAGUGUCUACAGUGGAGGCAAAGACUACAAUUCCAUUUCGAAAGAACUGGAUGUCCUUGUAUCAACCAUAUAGUGUAUCAUCAAGAAGUUCAAGAUGUCCAACACUUUAAAAAACUUGGAAGGAUGUGGCAGGAAGAGCAGAGUAUCCUCAAGAGUCGCUAGAAAGAUGUGCCAAGAUGCAAACAACAACCCCUGUAUCACCACCAAAGCUGUAAUAGACACCCUCAACUAAGCAGGGGAGAUGGUAUCAAGCUCCACUGUUCAGCGAAUUCUGCAUCGAGGUGGAAUCCAUGGACAUCGCACCAGAAAGACACCACUCCUUACCUAGAGACACCAGGAGGCGCGCCUGGCCUUUGCGAGGGGUUACCUAGGAAGAGAUCCCAACUUCUGGUCAUCUAUCCUCUGAGAAUUAACUGGAGCUCUUUGGACAUAUGGAUAUCUCAUAUGUUUGGUUUAAGAAAGAAGAAGCCUUCGAUCCUAAGAAUACCAUCUCAACAGUCAAGCACGGCGGUGGUCACAUCAUGCUAUGGGGAUGCUUCUUUGGCCGUGGUAUCUUGUUAAGAUGGAUGGUAUCAUGAAAAAGGAGGACUAUCUCAAAAUUCUUGAUGAAAACUUGGUGGUGUCAACACACAAGCUCAACCUGCCAAAGAAUUGGACCCACAGGAUCCAGCAGGAUAAUGACAUGAUGCAUAUGCGCAAGUGGUCAAGCAAUGGUUCAGGGACAACCCUUUUUUUAGGGAAAGACCUGACCUUCUAAUAAGCCUUCCAAUCUCCAACAACUGGAGGCUUUUGCAAAGGAAGAGUGGGGAAACAUUCCACAGCAGACCUGUAGAAAUCUUGUGGAGACCUAAAAAAAGCAUUUGCAGGCCGUGAAUAAGAACAAAGGCUUUUCUAUUAAUUUAUUGAAACAUUGUAAUAUAAAGGGUAUGAAUAAUUCUGAACAUGGUGGUGAUAUUUGAAUAUUUGUCAAAAACCCAUGAAAUGUCAUAUUUCUUGAAAUGUCACCUUUAUUCUCUCAGUUGUUUGUCACAUAAAUAUAUGAAAGUAUUAAAAAACUCAUUCAUCACAGAAGAAAACACUUAAAAAUACCAACGGUAUGAAUAAUUUUGAGCACAGCUGUAUGAGGAAAAAUGCAUUCAAAAGUUAAGCCAAACCGUCUAAAUCCCCCUGAUGGCAUGUCGCAGUUCAGUUUUUAACCUCAACCGUUCAAAGGAAAUGAAGCUGAAUUUAACGAAUUAUUUAUGAUGAUAAAUAAAAUGGUGUAGUUGUUGAGGUGAUUGGCAGAUUUGGGUUGGGUUCCAAAUCUCACAUUCUCUCUCUCUCUCUCUCUCUCUCUCUCUCUCUCUCUCUCUCUCUCUCUCUCUCUCUCACACACACACACACACACACACACACACACACACACACACACACACAUUCAAACGACACUUUGCACAAAGAAGAUUUAAAGAUUAAGUUUUGACAGCCAUGAUAUUUUUUGCUGUAAACUAUUGUCACAGAACCUCAUUGGGUGGUUUUUCUGGUACUUCCUUAUGGUGUCUAAGCUAACUUGCAUUACUGGUAUUAUAUCUGACAAAUCAACAAAAAAUCAAGUGUUAGCAUAAACCAAGAUAACUAACACUAGUCAAAUUUAUUAAAAAAUAUUUACCAUUGACUUUAUGACCACUGCAAACACUUAAAGUAGCUUGGUAAGGUUAGCCAGUCAUUUUUUAUUAUUUUUUUCAACCAAAUACGCAAACAAUGAUGAAGCAUGAAAGAGUGCAACCAUUGUGCGAUAUUGCUUUGUCUUUGUUCCUGCUAAUGGUCCCAUCACGGCCCGCAUUCAAUUUGUGAGAAAGGAACCAACCCAGCCACUGGGGGUUGCAUAAGCCAGUGCAAUCUCACAAUCCCAAGCAUGGAUAAAAAUGGAUGAGUUGUGCCUUGCAGGGCAUCUGGUGUAAAAAGCUGUGCCAAAUUAAAUAAACACAUCAAGUAAUCUGCUGUGAUGACCCCCAGUGGUAGCCAAUGAAGAAUAACAACAAUAGCUUUAUUGUUUUGUCUUUAUUUUGAUCAGACUCGUGGGGGAUACAGAGCUAGGAACACUUUGCACGAGGUACGAAUACGUGUUGGACAGGAUGCCAGUAUAUUGCAGAGCACCAUGAAUACAGAGUGGCACAAUUAUUUACAUCUAGUGUCAGAUUUAGAAGUUCACCUACUGGCACAAUUUGGGAGGUGGAAGUAAACCAGAGAAUCCUUAUUCAUCUUUAUAUUAUUCUCCAGAAACUAUCCUAGGAGGACUAUGUGUGAGACAGGAAUACACCCUUUUUAGGAUGAUGCAAUUUGCACAUUUAUACACUCAUUCACACCCAGGGUUGAUUUUAUGAUAUGCACUCUUCCUUCAGGGAACCCAGAUUACAUUGGGAGAAUACAGACAGACAGCCGUGCUGAGCUCAGGGACCCUAGAUCUAUGAGGCAAUUUUGUGCUGUUCAAAACAUUUUUCACUUCUUCAUGUAAUCCCUGACAGACUCGAUGAUGUUGAGAUAAGAGCUCUGUGGGGGCCAAACCAUCACAUUUAGGACUCCUGUUUCUCUACGCUGUAAAUCUGGGGCCAAUCAGACACAUCCCUGAUGGUAUUGUAUGAUGGAUAAAUAUCUUCCUGUAUUUCUCAGCAUUGAGAACACCAUUAAUCCUGACCAAAUCUCCAGCUUCAUUUGGAUAAAUGCAGCCCCAACCUUGCGAGGUUUUCUCUUCACUGUUGCCCGCAGAGACUGUAGACAUACCAGCCUUUCAGCAAACACGAAACAUUUUGACUCAUCAGAACAGAGCAUCUGCUGCAAAUUCCUAUGUUUUCAUGCAUUGUUGAAUUUUGGCCACAAUUCUUCCAUAAGGACUACUUCUGGCCAGACUUCUCCUCCUGGGUCCCACUGUAUUCCACCAGUUCUUUGCUGAUGGCAAUGAUGUCAAAAGGAAUUAAGCAAGGAGUCAAAGGGUAGUCACACAAAAAUAUUGAUUUGAUUUAGAUUUUUAUUCUUUUCAUUCAUUUUGCAUUUUGUAAAUUGAUUAAAAUUAAUUAAAAUAUA